CAAUAGCGUAUAUUUAAGUUGUUGCAGUUAAAAAGCUCGUAGUCGGAUUUUGGCUGAGACCGAUCGGUCCGCCGUUAGGUGUGCACUGAUUGGUCUCAGCUUCCUGGUGAGGAGGUGUGCUUCACGGCCACUUAGUCACCGUGGUUACUUUGAAAAAAUUAGAGUGUUCAAAGCGGGCUUACGCUUGAAUAUAUUAGCAUGGAAUAACACCAUAGGACUCCUGUCCUAUUUCGUUGGUCUCGGGACGGGAGUAAUGAUUAAGAGGAACAGUUGGGGGCAUUCGUAUUUCAUUGUCAGAGGUGAAAUUCUUGGAUUUAUGAAAGACGAACUUCUGCGAAAGCAUUUGCCAAGGAUGUUUUCAUUGA
RNAcentral lists this ribosomal RNA (365 nucleotides) under uncultured eukaryote. RNAcentral's name for it is "partial 18S ribosomal RNA". It matches the Rfam family "Eukaryotic small subunit ribosomal RNA", at positions 592 to 976 of the family's 1831-position model. The record is from RNAcentral.